UGGGACUGUUAUAGGAAUUAAAAGGGAUUGGAGGGUUAUAGUAAUGGUUAGAAAUGUUAGCUGAAUUCUGCUAUGGAUUGCAAAAUCUAUUAGGAGUUUUUUCUUUUGUUUGGAAUACUGCAAUGUCUUGGUAGGUAAGUAAGAAUGGAGUCACAACAUGGGAGAGUUGGAUAAAGACAUGGCUUGAAGCUUGAGGCCAGAGCGGUGCAUUUGAAAGACUUUGAAACCCCUCUUUUUUGUAGUUCUCUUUGAUGUAACUUCACUUCUUGUAAUGGAUUCUUGAAUUUUGUAAUUGAAUUUUGUAA
This is a long non-coding RNA of Vicia villosa (hairy vetch), 305 nucleotides long. RefSeq lists it as uncharacterized. The transcript has 3 exons. NCBI's taxonomy places the organism in Eukaryota, Viridiplantae, Streptophyta, Magnoliopsida, Fabales, Fabaceae. The record is from RefSeq and is a predicted model, not a curated record.